Long non-coding RNA from Triticum aestivum (bread wheat), 157 nucleotides. RefSeq lists it as uncharacterized. NCBI's taxonomy places the organism in Eukaryota, Viridiplantae, Streptophyta, Magnoliopsida, Poales, Poaceae. The record is from RefSeq and is a predicted model, not a curated record. The transcript has 3 exons.
UCAUCAGCAUCACUUCUCAAGGUUGGUCUGUCAUGCUUAAAGCGGAUAUAGUGACUAGUUUGUUAUGUGCUUUGCAGAACGGAUGGUUCACCAUAAUAGGAGCAUCACAAGACAUUGUAGUCAUUGGUGAAGAAUGAUAUGCAGUGAAACACAAGGA